RNAcentral lists this long non-coding RNA (1167 nucleotides) under Equus caballus (horse). RNAcentral describes it as "lncRNA (ENSECAG00000047462.1)". Lineage: Eukaryota; Metazoa; Chordata; Mammalia; Perissodactyla; Equidae. The record is from RNAcentral.
UUCAUUUAAGGAUGUAUUUAUUUACAAGAUACAAAUGUUUAAUAUUUAAUAGGAAUUAAAGUGCUUAAUUUUACAAUGUUUCUAAUUCUCUGCCUUUAUGACCAAAUAUACAUAUGUUACACAAUAUAUACACUAUCUGCAAGUUUUUUACAUUGAUAUAGCUAGAAAACAAAAAUUACUUUUUGUGUACACUUUUCACAUUUGAGUUAACUCUAAAAUUCUAACAUACCUUUUCAAACUGAUCAGUCAACAAUUCAAAAGCCCAGAUAACACUUAUUCAAAAGUAUCAGUCAAUUGUCACUCACAAAAUGAAAUGCUAGUUUGGUAAAAAAACAAAACAAAACACAAACAACCCCAAAGUUUUACAUACAGACAUGAUUGCUAAUGAAGGGAGACUCCCCCAAAGUGAUACAUUCCAACUCCAUUAUCAUAAUGGCCCCCACAGACUAUUAUGUUUCUUCUCAAACCUAUAUAUAUUACUCUAUGUAUUUGGUAUUCACUUAUUAAAAUAUGCUACAAUGAGUUUUUUUUUUAUUUUUCGCUAAAUCUGCCUAAUCUCACUAAUUCCAUCUAUAAUGAAUUUUAGGAAGGGGUGACCAUCAUAUGACUCUUAGUGACCCCAAUGACUUAAAAACUAUCUUGUAGAAGCCGUGUGCUAUUUCAUCUCAAAACACAGAAGACACUGCAUUCUACCAAACGUUCAGUGCAGACAGUAGAAAACCACGAUUGGCUUUAGAGAGUUUACCUCAGUAAGCUGCGCAGAAAAUGGCCCAAUAGAAUGAAAUUAUUAUGUUUUAAAGCCUAAAGGAAAAACAAAGUAAUGGCUAAGAUACUAAUGGUAUAAUUUAGAGGCCAAGGUGAAAGGCCCAGGUGCAGUGGAUCCUAUGAGUAAGCAAUUACGUAGAUUCAUAUUUGAUAGUUUAUAUCCCUUCUGCAGUUUAAGGACUUUUCUCUUAACAGACAUUGCUCUGAUCUGGAAACCAGCAGUAUCUUUCUGUCCACCUCUGUUCAUUCUGGCUUGUUUCAAUUCCUAAUCUUAUUCCUCCCCACCAUAUCAUUAAAGAAAGCAAAGUUAUCUUCUCAUGACACGAUUAUGGGGCAUAUAUAAGAAUGAAUUAUACUAAAAAUUCAUGUAAAUAAUUUAUGUUAAAAUAUUUAAAUUAAAAA